This 107-nucleotide non-coding RNA is filed under the name Enterococcus italicus DSM 15952. RNAcentral describes it as "Enterococcus sRNA 68 (Lacto-3 RNA)". It matches the Rfam family "Enterococcus sRNA 68 (Lacto-3 RNA)". Rfam says of the family: Name 'Ref' stands for RNA in E. faecalis. Also known as Lacto-3 RNA. Lactobacillales (Firmicutes). Lineage: Bacteria; Bacillati; Bacillota; Bacilli; Lactobacillales; Enterococcaceae. The record is from Rfam by way of RNAcentral.
UGCGAUGAGCCGAGGAAGUUAGCGUAUGCUAACCACUCAACCAGAGGCACAAGAGAUUCUCGCCUACCGGAUUGUAGGGUGUCGGAUGACAGCUAUGUGGAAAUGGU